GACGAACGCUGGCGGCGUGCUUAACACAUGCAAGUCGAACGGAAGGGCCCUGCUUUUGUGGGGUGCUCGAGUGGCGAACGGGUGAGUAACACGUGAGUAACCUGCCCUUGACUUUGGGAUAACUUCAGGAAACUGGGGCUAAUACCGGAUAGGAGCUCCUGCUGCAUGGUGGGGGUUGGAAAGUUUCGGCGGUUGGGGAUGGACUCGCGGCUUAUCAGCUUGUUGGUGGGGUAGUGGCUUACCAAGGCUUUGACGGGUAGCCGGCCUGAGAGGGUGACCGGCCACAUUGGGACUGAGAUACGGCCCAGACUCCUACGGGAGGCAGCAGUGGGGAAUAUUGCACAAUGGGCGGAAGCGUGAUGCAGCAACGCCGCGUGCGGGAUGACGGCCUUCGGGUUGUAAACCGCUUUCGCCUGUGACGAAGCGUGAGUGACGGUAAUGGGUAAAGAAGCACCGGCUAACUACGUG
Molecule: ribosomal RNA, 468 nt
Filed under: uncultured bacterium
Lineage: Bacteria
Description: partial 16S ribosomal RNA
Rfam family: Bacterial small subunit ribosomal RNA
Source: RNAcentral